GAUGAACGCUAGCUACAGGCUUAACACAUGCAAGUCGAGGGGAAACGACAUUGAAGCUUGCUUCGAUGGGCGUCGACCGGCGCACGGGUGAGUAACGCGUAUCCAACCUGCCUCUGACUAAGGGAUAACCCGGCGAAAGUCGGACUAAUACCUUAUGAGGUUUUCUGCAGACAUCUAAUGAAAACGAAAGAUUUAUCGGUAAUGGAUGGGGAUGCGUCUGAUUAGCUUGUUGGUGGGGUAACGGCCCACCAAGGCAACGAUCAGUAGGGGUUCUGAGAGGAAGGUCCCCCACAUUGGAACUGAGACACGGUCCAAACUCCUACGGGAGGCAGCAGUGAGGAAUAUUGGUCAAUGGACGGAAGUCUGAACCAGCCAAGUAGCGUGCAGGAUGACGGCCCUAUGGGUUGUAAACUGCUUUUGUAUGGGGAUAAAGUUAGGGACGUGUCCCUAUUUGCAGGUACCAUACGAAUAAGGACCGGCUAAUUCCGUGCCAGCAGCCGCGGUAAUACGGAAGGUCCAGGCGUUAUCCGGAUUUAUUGGGUUUAAAGGGAGCGUAGGCUGGAGAUUAAGUGUGUUGUGAAAUGUAGACGCUCAACGUCUGAAUUGCAGCGCAUACUGGUUUCCUUGAGUACGCACAACGUUGGCGGAAUUCGUCGUGUAGCGGUGAAAUGCUUAGAUAUGACGAAGAACUCCGAUUGCGAAGGCAGCUGACGGGAGCGCAACUGACGCUUAAGCUCGAAGGUGCGGGUAUCAAACAGG
RNAcentral lists this ribosomal RNA (759 nucleotides) under Prevotella melaninogenica. RNAcentral describes it as "bacterial SSU rRNA". It matches the Rfam family "Bacterial small subunit ribosomal RNA", at positions 28 to 776 of the family's 1533-position model. The record is from RNAcentral. Lineage: Bacteria; Pseudomonadati; Bacteroidota; Bacteroidia; Bacteroidales; Prevotellaceae.